This 58-nucleotide ribosomal RNA is filed under the name Verticillium dahliae. Its description in RNAcentral is "partial 28S ribosomal RNA". Lineage: Eukaryota; Fungi; Ascomycota; Sordariomycetes; Glomerellales; Plectosphaerellaceae. The record is from RNAcentral.
UUGACCUCGGAUCAGGUAGGAAUACCAGCGGAACUUAAGCAUAUCAAUAAGCGGAGGA